This is a non-coding RNA of Myodes glareolus (Bank vole), 161 nucleotides long. The record is from RefSeq and is a predicted model, not a curated record. Lineage: Eukaryota; Metazoa; Chordata; Mammalia; Rodentia; Cricetidae.
CUAUUCACCUCAUGGAGGAGACUCUAUUCUCACGCUGGUUGUUAUCCCAAGACAAGGCUCACACAAUGCUUUCGAGGAUUGUUGAUCCUCCGAUUUCCCCAAAUGCGGGAAACUUGAAUUAAUAAUUAGGUAGUGGGGUCCUGCGGACGUGCUCCCCCCGA